CCUAUGGGGGGCAGCAGGCGCGAAACCUUUACAAUGCGGGCAACCGUGAUAAGGAAACCCCGAGUGCCCGUAAACGCGGGCUGUCCAUCUGUAUAAAAAGCAGGUGAAGAAAGGGCCGGGCAAGACCGGUGCCAGCCGCCGCGGUAAUACCGGCGGCUCGAGUGGUGGCCACUAUUACUGGGCUUAAAGGGUCCGUAGCUUGAGCAAUAAGUCCCUUGGGAAAUUCAGCAGCUUAACUGGUGAUAGUUCAGGGGACACUGUUGUUCUAGGGAUCGGGAGAGGUAAGAGGUACUGCCGGGGUAGGAGUGAAAUCCUGUAAUCCCGGUGGGACCACCGAUGGCGAAGGCAUCUUACCAGAACGACUCCGACAGUGAGGGACGAAAGCUGGGGGAGCAAACCGGAUUAGAUACCCGCGUAGUCC
This 421-nucleotide ribosomal RNA is filed under the name uncultured Methanomicrobiales archaeon. Its description in RNAcentral is "bacterial SSU rRNA". It matches the Rfam family "Archaeal small subunit ribosomal RNA", at positions 322 to 747 of the family's 1478-position model. The record is from RNAcentral. Lineage: Archaea; Methanobacteriati; Methanobacteriota; Methanomicrobia; Methanomicrobiales.